Molecule: unclassified non-coding RNA, 314 nt
Filed under: plant metagenome
Description: partial contains 5.8S ribosomal RNA, internal transcribed spacer 2, and large subunit ribosomal RNA
Rfam family: 5.8S ribosomal RNA (bases 1-105)
Source: RNAcentral
GAAAUGCGAUAAUUAAUGUGAAUUGCAGAAUUCAGUGAAUCAUCGAGUCUUUGAACGCACAUUGCGCCCCCUGGUAUUCCGGGGGGCAUGCCUGUCCGAGCGUCAUUGCUGCCCUCAAGCACGGCUUCUGUGUUGGGCUUCCGUCCCUGGCAACGGGGACGGGCCCAAAAGGCAGUGGCGGCACCAUGUCUGGUCCUCGAGCGUAUGGGGCUUUGUCACCCGCUCCCGUAGGUCCAGCUGGCAGCUAGCCUCGCAACCAAUCUUUUUAACCAGGUUGACCUCGGAUCAGGUAGGGAUACCCGCUGAACUUAAGC